This 497-nucleotide ribosomal RNA is filed under the name uncultured bacterium. Its description in RNAcentral is "partial 16S ribosomal RNA". It matches the Rfam family "Bacterial small subunit ribosomal RNA", at positions 28 to 507 of the family's 1533-position model. The record is from RNAcentral.
GAUGAACGCUGGCGGCGUGCCUAAUACAUGCAAGUCGAGCGAACAGAUGAGGAGCUUGCUCCUCUGACGUUAGCGGCGGACGGGUGAGUAACACGUGGAUAACCUACCUAUAAGACUGGGAUAACUUCGGGAAACCGGAGCUAAUACCGGAUAAUAUAUUGAACCGCAUGGUUCAAUAGUGAAAGACGGUUUUGCUGUCACUUAUAGAUGGAUCCGCGCCGCAUUAGCUAGUUGGUAAGGUAACGGCUUACCAAGGCGACGAUGCGUAGCCGACCUGAGAGGGUGAUCGGCCACACUGGAACUUGGACACGGUCCAGGCUCCUACGAGAGGCAGCAGUAGGGAAUCGUCCGCAAUGGGCGAGAGCCUUACGGAGCAACGCCGCGUGAGUGAUGAAGGUCUUCGGAUCGUAAAACUCUGUUAUUAGGGAAGAACAAAUGUGUAAGUAACUAUGCACGUCUUGACGGUACCUAAUCAGAAAGCCACGGCUAACUACGUG